RNAcentral lists this ribosomal RNA (428 nucleotides) under uncultured bacterium. Its description in RNAcentral is "partial 16S ribosomal RNA". It matches the Rfam family "Bacterial small subunit ribosomal RNA", at positions 354 to 796 of the family's 1533-position model. The record is from RNAcentral.
GUAGGGAAUAUUGCGCAAUGGACGAAAGUCUGACGCAGCGACGCCGCGUGAGUGAUGAAGGCCUUCGGGUCGUAAAGCUCUGUUGCAGGGGAAUAAAAAAAUGAAGGUACCCUGUGAGGAAGGAUCGGCUAACUUCGUGCCAGCAGCCGCGGUAAGACGAGGGAUCCUAGCGUUGCUCGGAAUCAUUGGGCGUAAAGAGGGCGUAGGUGGCUUGGUAAGUCAGGUGUGAAAGCCCAGGGCUCAACCCUGGAAGUGCAUUUGAUACUGCUGAGCUUGAGUGUCGGAGAGGUUACCGGAAUACCUGGUGUAGUGGUGAAAUACGUAGAUAUCAGGUGGAACACCGGAGGCGAAGGCGGGUAACUGGACGAACACUGACACUGAGGCCCGAAAGCGUGGGGAUCAAACAGGAUUAGAAACCCCAGUAGUCC